UUCCGGUUGAUCCUGCCAGAGGCUACUGCUAUUGGAAUGCGACUAAGCCAUGCGAGUCAAGGGGUUCUUCGGAGCACCGGCGUAUGGCUCAGUAACAUGUGGGUAACCUACCCUCAGGAGGGGGAUAACCUCGGGAAACUGAGGCUAAUAUCCCAUAGACAAAAGAUACUGGAAUGUUCUUUUAUCGAAAGCUCCGGCACCUGAGGAUGGGCCUGCAUUCGAUUAGGUUGUUGGUGAGGUAAUGGCUCACCAAGCCUACGAUCGGUACGGGUCGUGAGAGCGAUAGCCCGGAGAUGGGGACUGAGACAAGGCCCCAGGCCCUACGGGGCGCAGCAGGCGCGAAACCUCUGCAAUGUGUGAAAACAUGACAGGGGUAUUCCAAGUGCCCUUGUUUUGCAAGGGCUUUUCUUCGGUCCAAGACGCCGGAGGAAUAAGAGCUGGGUAAGACCGGUGCCAGCCGCCGCGGUAACACCGGCAGCUCAAGUGGUAGCCGCUAUUAUUGGGCCUAAAGCGUUCGUAGCCGGGCAAGUAAGUGUUCUGGUAAAUCCCAUAACUUAAUUAUGAGACUUCAGAAUAUACUGCUUGUCUUGAGACCGGGAGAGGCUGGAGGUACUUUUGGGGUAGGGGUAAAAUCCUAUAAUCCCAAAGGGACCACCGGUGGCGAAGGCGUCCAGCCAGAACGGGUCUGACGGUGAGGGACGAAACCCAGGGGAGCGAGUCGGAUUAGAUACCCGGGUAGUCCUGGGCGUAAAUGAUGUGGGCUAGGUGCAAAGCUACCUAAGUGGUAGCUUGGUGCCGAUGGGAAGCCGUUAAGCCCACCGCCUGGGGAGUACGGUCGCAAGGCUGAAACUUAAAGGAAUUGGCGGGGGAGCACCACAAGGGGUGGAGGCUGCGGUUUAAUUGGAUUCAACGCCGGGAAACUCACCGGGGGCGACAGCAGUAUGAAGGUCAGGCUGAUGACCUUACCAGACAAGCUGAGAGGAGGUGCAUGGCCGUCGUCAGCUCGUACCGUGAGGCGUCCUGUUAAGUCAGGUAACGAGCGAGACCCUCGCCCACAGUUGCCAGCAGAUCCUUUUGGAUACUGGGGACUCUGUGGGGACCGCUGGUGCUAAAUCAGAGGAAGGAGAGGACGACGGUAGGUCAGUAUGCCCCAAAUCUCCCGGGCUACACGCGGCCUACAAUGGACGAAACAAUUGGCUCCAACCCCGAAAGGGGAAGGUAAUCCUCUAAAUUCGUUCUAAGUUCGGAUUGAGGGCUGUAACUCGCCCUCAUGAAGCUGAAAUCCCUAGUAAUCGCGUGUCAUCAUCACGCGAUGAAUGUGUCCCUGCUCCUUGCACACACCGCCCGU
This 1348-nucleotide ribosomal RNA is filed under the name uncultured archaeon. RNAcentral describes it as "bacterial SSU rRNA". It matches the Rfam family "Archaeal small subunit ribosomal RNA". The record is from RNAcentral.